AUACAGAAGGCUAAUGACGGUACCGUAAGAAUAAGCACUUUGCUAACUACGUGCCAGCACGCGCGCGGUAAUACGUAUGGUGCAAGCGUUAAUCGGAAUUACUGGGCGUAAAGCGUGCGCAGGCGGUUAUGUAAGACAGUUGUGAAAUCCCCGGGCUCAACCUGGGAAUUGCAUCUGAGACUGCAUAGCUAGAGUACGGUAGAGGGGGAUGGAAUUCCGCGUGUAGCAUUUUAAUUUUUAGAUAUGCGGAGGAACACCGAUGGCGAAGGCAAUCCCCUGGACCUGUACUGACGCUCAUGCACGAAAGCGUGGGGAGCAAACAGGAUUAGAUACCCUGGUAGUCCACGCCCUAAACGAUGUCAACUGGUUGUUGGGUACAUUAUGACUCAGUAACGAAGCUAACGCGUGAAGUUGACCGACUGGGGAGUACGGUCGCAAGGUUGAAACUCAAAGAAUUGACGG
Molecule: ribosomal RNA, 462 nt
Filed under: uncultured Variovorax sp.
Lineage: Bacteria; Pseudomonadati; Pseudomonadota; Betaproteobacteria; Burkholderiales; Comamonadaceae
Description: bacterial SSU rRNA
Rfam family: Bacterial small subunit ribosomal RNA
Source: RNAcentral